ACGGAAGGCAGCAGUGGGGAAUAUUGGGCAAUGGGCGCAAGCCUGACCCAGCAACGCCGCGUGAAGGAAGAAGGCUUUCGGGUUGUAAACUUCUUUUCUGUGGGACGAAAGGAAUGACGGUACUACAGGAAUAAGCCACGGCUAACUACGUGCCAGCAGCCGCGGUAAUACGUAGGUGGCAAGCGUUAUCCGGAUUUACUGGGUGUAAAGGGCGUGUAGGCGGGAAGGCAAGUCAGAUGUGAAAACUAUGGGCUCAACCCAUAGCCUGCAUUUGAAACUGUUUUUCUUGAGUAUCGGAGAGGCAGGCGGAAUUCCGUAUGUAGCGGUGAAAUGCGUAGAUAUACGGAGGAACACCAGUGGCGAAGGCGGCCUGCUGGACGACAACUGACGCUGAGGCGCGAAAGCGUGGGGAGCAAACAGGAUUAGAUACCCUGGUA
This 437-nucleotide ribosomal RNA is filed under the name uncultured Oscillospira sp. Its description in RNAcentral is "partial 16S ribosomal RNA". It matches the Rfam family "Bacterial small subunit ribosomal RNA", at positions 341 to 792 of the family's 1533-position model. Lineage: Bacteria; Bacillati; Bacillota; Clostridia; Eubacteriales; Oscillospiraceae. The record is from RNAcentral.